RNA transcript from Cervus elaphus (red deer), 2407 nucleotides. It is a transcript of the gene named A-kinase anchor inhibitor 1, with no coding region annotated. The transcript has 4 exons. Lineage: Eukaryota; Metazoa; Chordata; Mammalia; Artiodactyla; Cervidae. The record is from RefSeq and is a predicted model, not a curated record.
UCUCAGACCAAGGAUCAAACCCGUGUCUCCUGCAUUGGCCCGUGGGUUCUUCACCACUGAGCCACCAGGAAAGCCCCAUUUUACUAUUUUUUAAAAUUUACUUUAUUGUGGUUGAUUUACAGUAAUUGUAUUGUAGUGUACAAUUGUACAGUUUGUGUUAAUUUGUUCAGUAUAGCAAAGUGACCCUUUUCAUAUAAUUUUCCAUUGUGGUUUAUCACAAGAUACUGAACCCAUUAAAAGUUCCUUGUGCUGUACAGUAGGACCUUGUUGUUUAUCCAUUCCCUAUACACCAGUUUGCAUGUACUAAUCCCGAACUCCCAAUCCUUCCCUCCCCAACUCACCCCCCCACACACCUUGGCAACAAGUCUGUUCCCCGUGUCUGAAUCUUUCGUAGAUAUGUUCAUUUGUGUUGUAUUUUAAUUUUCAUAACCUGUCUUUAAUCAAAUCAUGCAAAAAUAUAACCAGAGGUUUUUACUACAGUCCUUAUGUAUGUAAACUGUUCACCAAGGUGGCAAGAGAUGAGUUUUUCUUAAUACAAACUAUCUUAACUAGGAAUUUAAGCUAUUUCAGUGAGACUAUACUGACCACCGGAAUGACAAAAUUCAUGGACAUUUAAGGGAAGGUAGUACAGACUUUGAUGCCUAAAGGAUUUCAAGAACUCCUUUCUUUAAAAGGAGGGCUCCGAUCUUUCUUUUUCUUCCCCUUAUUUGGCUCCGUAAGAGAAAUCUGAACUAAACUCUAAUGAUCAAGUUAUGCCUUUAAUAACAGAAGAAAAACUGAGGCCAAAGCUAUCAAGUAAUUUACAUAAAGAGGGAGCCAAGUCAUCUAACAUAGGAGAAUCAAGUGGCUACAGCUUAAAGAAUGCAUGCCCCCCCCCAUCCUUUUUGCGAUUAGUUGCACCCAUCUUGAAAAAAUACCAUCUUUGCUUAUUAAGGAGCAAACAUAAAAAUUACUCAAGUUGACUCUUCUGCCUCCUUGUAAGAUGCACGUUUUUAACACGUACUUAAUUUUUUAAAUUUACUUUUAACUGGAGAAUGAUUGUUUUACAGUAUUGUGUUGGCUUCCAGUCAUAUUAACAUGUAUUUCAAAACCAUGAGGUGAAAAGUUAAAAAAGGCCAUAAAACAAGAAUCCAAUAUGCCAUUCUUUACACACGACAUCAGAACAUUCACUUAGAAUUUUUUUCUUACAACUGUGUUCCUGUGGAGAUACACUUGGUCUUACUCAUCUGUAUCUCCUGUAACCCCAAGUACGUAAGAUACAUAUUUACAUUUUAAAAGGAAGUACUUUUCAAAUGUAUUGUCCAGCGCCUGGACUUCUCCGACUAAAAGGCACAAUCUCUGAAACUGUUGUGGUUUCAGAACAGAAACAAAGUAUGUGGAAAACAGAUUCCUAGGGUACAAGGGCCAAUAUUUGGUCGCCAGGCACGCGAACCCUGGCAUUCGUCUCAGGGUUUCAGCUCUCCAUCGGUGUCCCCGGGGGUGUGACAAGCUCGGACACUUCCUAGGUGGCCCAGAUCGUCCAGGGCGGUCUGCAGCAGCCUUCGCAGACUCGGAAAGUCUCGGGAAAAGCCACGGGGCAGGCGGGCGGGCAUGCCUGGGACAGCAGGUCUGCCUUCUUGCACAGCAGCCGCCGAACCUGCUCCAUGAGCGCGCCUUUAUCCCUGCGCAGCGCGUGGUUCAGGCCCAGGACGUCCUGCAUCAGGACCGCCAGCGCCUCCAUCACCGCCCGCCAGUUCCCCCCGUGCCGCCGCGCCGCCGCCGGAAGUGCGUGUCGCUCGGGGGCGGGUCACGGCGGCGGCGCGUCUGGCCUCCGCGGUCCAGGCCGGGCCAAGGCCCGAGCAAGCGCCCGUGGGCAGGGUCGCCAGCAUUAUUGGCCGCAGAAGCGGCGAGCCGAGAGUCCUGGCGCCGGAGGGCGGCGGGGAAGAGAGGAAACAUAGGGUAACUGGCGGCCGAAACGCGGGACCUGACGCCGCGCUCGGCGGAGGAAUCUGACUUCGUGGCAGCGUGCAGCGACUUCCGGGGGGCUCCCUCCGCGGGCAGGUGCUUAAAGGGGAAGCCGCGCAUCCGUGGGAGGCUGCGGGUUCGCCGGCCCCUGCCGAGAUAUCCUCAGGAGACAGUCUUCCUGCCUCCUGGAAUGAAUGCGCUUUGCUUUGAUGUGGGCGCCAUACUAAGGGAAGUCAUCACUUCUUUGUUUUAGCGACAGAGCCUCCCUGAGUCAAAAGCUGGGCACAUGGCUAUCUGGUUGGUGACUGGAUUUGUGGUCUUCUGUGUGGUGAGAAGCCUGGAAGUGAGCCUGACGAGGCAAAGCUGCAGACCGCCAGCAGACGGAUCGUGCAGAAUGCCAUCCUGCGGGCCGUGCAGCAGGUCUCCCGGGAGAGCCAGAGCCGGAGGAGGGACGCCAGGGCCG